This 63-nucleotide transfer RNA is filed under the name Meccus pallidipennis. Its description in RNAcentral is "tRNA-Ile". The record is from RNAcentral. Lineage: Eukaryota; Metazoa; Arthropoda; Insecta; Hemiptera; Reduviidae.
AAUAAGGUGCCUGAAAAAGGGCUAUCUUGAUAGGAUAGAUCAUGUAUAAUAAUACCCUUAUUA